RNAcentral lists this ribosomal RNA (460 nucleotides) under uncultured bacterium. RNAcentral describes it as "partial 16S ribosomal RNA". It matches the Rfam family "Bacterial small subunit ribosomal RNA", at positions 338 to 795 of the family's 1533-position model. The record is from RNAcentral.
CCUACGGGUGGCAGCAGUGAGGAAUAUUGGUCAAUGGACGCGAGUCUGAACCAGCCAAGUAGCGUGAAGGAUGACUGCCCUAUGGGUUGUAAACUUCUUUUAUAUAGGAAUAAACUGUUCCACGUGUGGCUUUUUGUAUGUACCUUAUGAAUAAGGAUCGGCUAACUCCGUGCCAGCAGCCGCGGUAAUACGGAGGAUCCGAGUGUUAUCCGGAUUUAUUGGGUUUAAAGGGAGCGUAGAUGGAUUGUUAAGUCAGUUGUGAAAGUUUGCGGCUCAACCGUAAAAUUGCAGUUGAUACUGGCAGUCUUGAGUACAGUAGAGGUAGGCGGAAUUCGUGGUGUAGCGGUGAAAUGCUUAGAUAUCACGAAGAACUCCGAUUGCGAAGGCAGCUCACUAAACUGCAACUGACAUUGAUGCUCGAAAGUGUGGGUAUCAAACAGGAUUAGAGACCCUAGUAGUC